GGGGAUUUAGCUCAGUGGUAAAGCGCUUGCCUAGCAAGCACAAGACCCUGGGUUCGGUCCCCAGCUCCA
Molecule: transfer RNA, 69 nt
Filed under: Rattus norvegicus (Norway rat)
Lineage: Eukaryota; Metazoa; Chordata; Mammalia; Rodentia; Muridae
Rfam family: tRNA
About the family: Transfer RNA (tRNA) molecules are approximately 80 nucleotides in length.
Source: Rfam by way of RNAcentral